Molecule: transfer RNA, 52 nt
Filed under: Cyrtodactylus zebraicus
Lineage: Eukaryota; Metazoa; Chordata; Lepidosauria; Squamata; Gekkonidae
Description: partial tRNA-Tyr
Source: RNAcentral
GGCCGAGUAGGCGGCAAGUUGUAGCCUUGUUCACGGGGCCGCGCCCCCCCAG